AAACCCGGGCUCUUUCCACUCAGCCACGCUGCUUAGGCCUCAGCUCCUCGUCCACCGGACCGGUCUCCCUCUGCCUCGUUCCGCCCACCUGGGGAGCAGGGAGAUCCGCUUUGGAGCAACUGUUAAUAAAAGUGAUUUAAAGAAAAA
This is a long non-coding RNA of Ornithorhynchus anatinus (platypus), 147 nucleotides long. RefSeq lists it as uncharacterized. Lineage: Eukaryota; Metazoa; Chordata; Mammalia; Monotremata; Ornithorhynchidae. The transcript is spliced from 2 exons. The record is from RefSeq and is a predicted model, not a curated record.